UCAGACGAUGCGUCAUGCAUAUCAAUAAGCGGAGGAAAAGAAACUAACAAGGAUUCCCCUAGUAACGGCGAGUGAAGCGGGAAGAGCUCAAAUUUGAAAUCUUAAAGGGUUUCCCUUUACGAAUUGUAGUUUAAAGAAGUGUUUUCUGUUGAGGUUUUGGUAAAAGUUCUUUGGAAUAGGACAUCAUAGAGGGUGAGAAUCCCGUAUUUGACCUUUACUUUCAACUUUGUGAUACACUUUCAAAGAGUCGGAUUGUUUGGGAAUGCAGUCCAAAAUGGGUGGUAAAUUUCAUCUAAAGCUAAAUAUUGGCGAGAGACCGAUAGCGAACAAGUACCGUGAGGGAAAGAUGAAAAGAACUUUGAAAAGAGAGUUAAACAGUACGUGAAAUUGUCAAAAGGGAAGCGUUUGACACCAGUGUUGUUUUUCUGAAAAUCAAUUAAAGAACUGUUUAUGCUAAGCUGUUUAGACUUUAUCAGCUAUCUGUUUAGUUUUAGAGCUUUUCUUUAAUGCACUUUUCAGUUAACAAGUCAACAUCAAUUUCUUUUGCUGUAAAAAAGCUUGAGGAAGGUGGCUUGAGAUUCGUCUUAAGUGUUUAUAGCCUCUUGCCUAUGCAGUCGGAGAGAUUGAGGUCUGCAGCGUAGAUCCUUCGGGGCUAAAUGCAUUUGUGCUAAGUUAUAGCAUUUUAUAGACAACUUGUUGACUAUGAUUUGUCUUGUAGCUUACUCGCUUAUGUUAUUUUACCUACGCUUAGGAUGUUGACACACGCGCGUGCUCG
Molecule: ribosomal RNA, 775 nt
Filed under: uncultured Neocallimastigales
Lineage: Eukaryota; Fungi; Neocallimastigomycota; Neocallimastigomycetes; Neocallimastigales
Description: partial large subunit ribosomal RNA
Rfam family: Eukaryotic large subunit ribosomal RNA
Source: RNAcentral